This 537-nucleotide ribosomal RNA is filed under the name uncultured bacterium. Its description in RNAcentral is "bacterial SSU rRNA". It matches the Rfam family "Bacterial small subunit ribosomal RNA", at positions 359 to 917 of the family's 1533-position model. The record is from RNAcentral.
GGACUUGCCANUGGGGGAACCCUGAUGCAGCGACGCCGCGUGAGCGAUGAAGCCCUUCGGGGUGUAAAGCUCUUUCGGCAGGGAAGAUAAUGACGGUACCUGCAGAAGCAGCUGCGGCUAACUACGUGCCAGCAGCCGCGGUAAUACGUAGGCAGCAAGCGUUGUUCGGAGUUACUGGGCGUAAAGGGUGCGUAGGCGGCUAUUUAAGUUUGGUGUGAAAUCUCCCGGCUCAACUGGGAGGGUGCGCCGAAUACUGAGUGGCUAGAGUACGGGAGAGGAAAGUGGAAUUCCUGGUGUAGCGGUGAAAUGCGUAGAUAUCAGGAGGAACACCGGUGGCGUAAACGGCUUUCUGGACCGUAACUGACGCUGAGGCACGAAAGCGUGGGUAGCAAACAGGAUUAGAUACCCUGGUAGUCCACGCCCUAAACGAUGCAUAUUUGGUGUGGGCCAUUCAUUUGGUCUGUGCCGGAGCUAACGCGUUAAAUAUGCCGCCUGGGGAGUACAGUCGCAAGGCUGAAACUCAAAAAAAUUGACGGA